AGUAGCGACAAAGGGGGUGAGAGACCCCCUCGCCGAAAGUCCAAGGGUUCCUGCUUAAAGCUAAUCUGAGCAGGGUAAGCCGGCCCCUAAGGCGAGGCCGAAAGGCGUAGUCGAUGGGAACACGGUUAAUAUUCCGUGGCCAGGAGGAAGUGACGGAUCUCGACGGUAGUUUGCCCUUAUCGGAUUGGGUGGGCUGCUUAGAGGUCCCUGGAAAUAGCCCUCCAUCAGACCGUACCCUAAACCGACACAGGUGGACUGGUAGAGUAUACCAAGGCACUUGAGAGAACCACGUUAAAGGAACUCGGCAAAAUGCCUCCGUAAGUUCGCGAGAAGGAGGCCCCGUCUGUACGCAAGUGCGGGCGGGGGGCACAAACUAGGGGGUGGCGACUGUUUACUUAAAACACAGGGCUCUGCGAAGCCGUAAGGCGACGUAUAGGGUCUGACGCCUGCCCGGUGCUGGAAGGUUAAAAGGAGGGGUGCAAGCUCUGAAUUGAAGCCCCAGUAAACGGCGGCCGUAACAAUAACGGUCCUAAGGUAGCGAAAUUCCUUGUCGGGUAAGUUCCGACCUGCACGAAUGGCGUAACGAUCUCCCCGCUGUCUCUAACGUGGACUCAGCGAAAUUGAACUGUGUGUCAAGAUGCACACUUCCCGCGGUUAGACGGAAAGACCCCAUGCACCUUUACUCCAGCUUUGCACUGGCAUCAGGAUUGUGAUGUGCAGGAUAGGUGGUAGGCAUCGAAGCGGGGACGCUAGUCCUCGUGGAGCCUCCCUUGAGAUACCACCCUUCGCACUCUUGAUGUCUAACCGCGGCCCGUUAUCCGGGUCCGGGACCCUGCAUGGUGGGGAGUUUGACUGGGGCGGUCGCCUCCCAAACAGUAACGGAGGCGCGCGAAGGUAGGCUCAGACCGGUCGGAAAUCGGUCGUUGAUGCAAUGGCAGAAGCCUGCCUGACUGCAAGACUGACAAGUCGAGCAGAGACGAAAGUCGGUCAUAGUGAUCCGGUGGUCCCAAGUGAGGGCCAUCGCUCAACGGAUAAAAGGUACGCUGGGGAUAACAGGCUGAUGAUGCCCAAGAGUCCAUAUCGACGGCAUCGUUUGGCACCUCGAUGUCGGCUCAUCUCAUCCUGGGGCUGGAGCAGGUCCCAAGGGUAUGGCUGUUCGCCAUUUAAAGAGGUACGUGAGCUGGGUUUAGAACGUCGUGAGACAGUUCGGUCCCUAUCUGCCGUGGGUGUAGGAGACUUGAGAAGAGUUGCCCCUAGUACGAGAGGACCGGGGUGAACGGACCACUGGUGGACCAGUUAUCGUGCCAACGGUAGUGCUGGGUAGCUAUGUUCGGACAGGAUAACCGCUGAAGGCAUCUAAGCGGGAAGCCCCCUUCAAAACAAGGUCUCCCUUGAGGGCCGUGGUAGACCACCACGUCGAUAGGCCAGAGGUGUAAGUGCAGCAAUGCAUUCAGCUGACUGGUACUAAUUGCCCGAAAA
This 1479-nucleotide ribosomal RNA is filed under the name metagenome. RNAcentral describes it as "bacterial LSU rRNA". It matches the Rfam family "Bacterial large subunit ribosomal RNA", at positions 1305 to 2915 of the family's 2925-position model. The record is from RNAcentral.